CAGGGAUGUUCUCUGUUUAGUGAGUCCACCAGAUCAGAGGCAGUAGGGAUGACCAGGGAUGUUCUCUGUUUGGUGAGUCCACCAGAUCAGAGGCAGUAGGGAUGACCAGGGAUGUUCUCUGUUUAGUGAGUCCACCAGAUCAGAGGCAGUAGGGAUGACCAGGGAUGUUCUCUGUUUAGUGAGUCCACCAGAUCAGAGGCAGUAGGGAUGACCAGGGAUGUUCUCUGUUUAGUGAGUCCUCCAGAUCAGAGACAGUAGGGAUGACCAGGGAUGUUCUCUGUUUAGUGAAUCCACCAGAUCAGAGGCAGUAGGGAUGACCAGGGAUGUUCUCUGUUUAGUGAGUCCACCAGAUCAGAGGCAGUAGGGAUGACCAGGGAUGUUCUCUGUUUAGUGAGUCCACCAGAUCAGAGGCAGUAGGGAUGACCAGGGAUGUUCUCUGUUUAGUGAGUCCACCAGAUCAGAGGCAGUAGGGAUGACCAGGGAUGUUCUCUGUUUAGUGAGUCCACCAGAUCAGAGGCAGUAGGGAUGACCAGGGAUGUUCUCUGUUUAGUGAGUCCACCAGAUUAGAGGCAGUAGGGAUGACCAGGGAUGUUCUCUGUUUAGUGAGUCUACCAGAUUAGAGGCAGUAGGGAUGACCAGGGAUGUUCUCUGUUUAGUGAGUCCACCAGAUCAGAGGCAGUAGGGAUGACCAGGGAUGUUCUCUGUUUAGUGAGUCCACCAGAUCAGAGGCAGUAGGGAUGACCAGGGAUGUUCUCUGUUUAGUGAGUCCACCAGAUCAGAGGCAGUAGGGAUGACCAGGGAUGUUCUCUGUUUGGUGAGUCCACCAGAUCAGAGGCAGUAGGGAUGACCAGGGAUGUUCUCUGUUUAGUGAGUCCACCAGAUCAGAGGCAGUAGGGAUGACCAGGGAUGUUCUCUGUUUAGUGAGUCCACCAGCUCAGAGGCAGUAGGGAUGACCAGGGAUGUUCUCUGUUUAGUGAGUCCUCCAGAUCAGAGACAGUAGGGAUGACCAGGGAUGUUCUCUGUUUAGUGAGUCCACCAGAUCAGAGGCAGUAGGGAUGACCAGGGAUGUUCUCUGUUUAGUGAGUCCUCCAGAUCAGAGACAGUAGGGAUGACCAGGGAUGUUCUCUGUUUAGUGAGUCCACCAGAUCAGAGGCAGUAGGGAUGACCAGGGAUGUUCUCUGUUUAGUGAGUCCACCAGAUCAGAGGC
Oncorhynchus tshawytscha (Chinook salmon) is the source of this 1207-nucleotide long non-coding RNA. The record is from Ensembl. NCBI's taxonomy places the organism in Eukaryota, Metazoa, Chordata, Actinopteri, Salmoniformes, Salmonidae.